ACCAAUCUUUGAGAUUUUUACCCCGAACUACGAUGUUUUGAUCCUACCUUUGUGAUGGUACGUAGGAAAUGGGUUCAUCCAUUCAAACAACAAAAUUGUAAAUAUAAUGUAUAUUGUCUUCUCAUCUCCACAAUCUUAUUUGCAUAAUUUUUUUCACAAAUACCAACCUACAACACACAUUUGCAAAAAGGGCUCCCUUAGAGUACUAAGGAUGUUUUGGGUGCUUAAAACCUUACAUUUCA
This 242-nucleotide long non-coding RNA is filed under the name Lathyrus oleraceus (garden pea). RNAcentral's name for it is "Pisum sativum (pea) long non-coding RNA (PSAT_LNC014374)". The record is from RNAcentral. Lineage: Eukaryota; Viridiplantae; Streptophyta; Magnoliopsida; Fabales; Fabaceae.